CCAAUAGCGUAUAUUAAAGUUGUUGCAGUUAAAAAGCUCGUAGUUGAAUUUCGGGAUCAAUAUGUCGGUCGUGCCUUCGGUACGUACUGGCAUCAUUGGUUUCUCCCUUCUGACAAACCAUGAUGUCAUUAACUUGGUGUCAUGGGAAAUCAGGACUGUUACUUUGAAAAAAUUAGAGUGUUUAAAGCAGGCUCACGCUUGAAUACAUUAGCAUGGAAUAAUGAAAUAGGACGUUCGAUCCUAUUUUGUUGGUUUCUAGGAUUGACGUAAUGAUUAAUAGGGAUAGUUGGGGGCAUUAGUAUUCAAUUGUCAGAGGUGAAAUUCUUGGAUUUAUUGAAGACUAACUACUGCGAAAGCAUUUGCCAAGGAUGUUUUCAUUAAUCAAGAACGAAAGUUAGGGGAUCGAAGACGAUCAGAUACCGUCGUAGUCUUAACCAUAAACUAUGCCGACUAGGGAUCGGAUGAUGUUAAUUUUUUAAUGACUCAUUCGGCGCCUUACG
This 500-nucleotide ribosomal RNA is filed under the name uncultured Glomeromycotina. RNAcentral describes it as "SSU rRNA". It matches the Rfam family "Eukaryotic small subunit ribosomal RNA", at positions 591 to 1092 of the family's 1831-position model. Lineage: Eukaryota; Fungi; Glomeromycota. The record is from RNAcentral.